GCCUACACAUGCAAGUCGAGGGGCAGCGGGGAAAAGCUUGCUUUUCCGCCGGCGACCGGCGCACGGGUGCGGAACGCGUAUGGAACCUGCCCCUGUCAGGGGAAUAGCCCAGGGAAACUUGGAUUAAUGCCCCAUGGUACCGCGAUAUCGCAUGAUAUUGUGGUUAAAGAUUUAUCGGACAGGGAUGGCCAUGCGUACCAUUAGCUUGAUGGUGGGGUAACGGCCCACCAUGGCAACGAUGGUUAGGGGCCCUGAGAGGGGGAUCCCCCACACUAGUACCGAGACACGGACCAGACUCCUACGGGAGGCAGCAGUGAGGAAUAUUGGACAAUGGUCGGGAGACUGAUCCAGCCAUGCCGCGUGCAGGAUGACUGCCCUAUGGGUUGUAAACUGCUUUUAUACGGGAAGAAACGCACCUACGUGUAGGUGUCUGACGGUACCGUAAGAAUAAGGACCGGCUAACUCCGUGCCAGCAGCCGCGGUAAUACGGAGGGUCCGAGCGUUAUCCGGAAUCAUUGGGUUUAAAGGGUCCGUAGGCGGGCCGUUAAGUCAGGGGUGAAAGUCUGCGGCUCAACCGUAGAAUUGCCUUUGAUACUGGCGGUCUUGAGUCAUGGUGGGGUUGCCGGAACAUGUGGUGUAGCGGUGAAAUGCAUAGAUAUCACAUAGAACACCGAUCGCGAAGGCAGGUGACCAACCAUGUACUGACGCUGAUGGACGAAAGCGUGGGUAGCGAACGGGAUUAGAUACCCCGGUAGUCCACGCCGUAAACGAUGGAUACUAGCUGUGGGGACUUCGGUCUCCGUGGCCAAGCGAAAGUGAUAAGUAUCCCACCUGGGGAGUACGUUCGCAAGAAUGAAACUCAAAGGAAUUGACGGGGGCCCGCACAAGCGGUGGAGCAUGUGGUUUAAUUCGAUGAUACGCGAG
This 924-nucleotide ribosomal RNA is filed under the name uncultured bacterium. RNAcentral describes it as "bacterial SSU rRNA". It matches the Rfam family "Bacterial small subunit ribosomal RNA", at positions 46 to 965 of the family's 1533-position model. The record is from RNAcentral.